RNAcentral lists this long non-coding RNA (355 nucleotides) under Setaria viridis. Its description in RNAcentral is "long non-coding RNA (SVIR_LNC001236)". Lineage: Eukaryota; Viridiplantae; Streptophyta; Magnoliopsida; Poales; Poaceae. The record is from RNAcentral.
GAAUGAGUUACGGUAAUUGCUGGGAAAAUACGGGAAAACACAAAAAUUGUUUUUUUUAAAAAGGGAAUUUUUAAAUGUUCAUACUUUUAUUAUUUUCAUUCUAAUUUUUCAAGUCAAAGUUCCCGCUUCCAUCUUACACAAAAAAAAAAUAAGAGAAAACUCAAAAAUGAUUCCAAGUAAACAUAAAUUCCUAUUUUUCACUUUCAUCCCUAGAGGGUUACACUAUCAUUUUCAUGAUGUUUAUUUAUUGGUAGUUACCGUCUUACAUAUGGACAUGAUGCCAUUAAGGUUCACUUCCGUGCUUCCUACUAGACUAGGGCCAUCUCUGGUAGCGUCUCUGUUGCUAGAUCCACCC